RNAcentral lists this long non-coding RNA (4075 nucleotides) under Xyrichtys novacula (pearly razorfish). The record is from RNAcentral. Lineage: Eukaryota; Metazoa; Chordata; Actinopteri; Labriformes; Labridae.
UUCGGCUUCGAUCGGCGGAUACGGCUUUUUCGUUGACGUUCCGGGUGAAUGCGGUGAAAGUCGGGGGUCAGCCUCUCUGAAUGUCCGUCUUCCACCCAGUCAUGUGACUAACCUGUUUAGAUGUUCCUCUAUCAGAACCUUUUAUCAACAUGUUACUCUACAUCCUGACGCUCUUUUUUUAACCCAGGGUUGCACCUGUCUCUGUACAGGUGUGUGAGGUCACAUGACCGGUUACAGACAGAAACAGGAUUACACAGAUGGAUAGAUUAAAGAGGAUUACAUCUGUUUGUCUGAAAGUUUAAUCUGACCUCAGAUCAGCCGACUCUGUUUCAUUCUCACACACUGCUGUUAGAUCAUUGUCGUCUUUUUCUUUUACAACAGAGUCCAAAAAAAUCUAUAAUCUAUUGAAUUAGAUUAACUCUUAAUAUUUUUCUGAAUCAUGUAGAAAUUAAAGUGUGAACGUACAGAAAUAAACUGAGAUACUGUACGUGUUGGACCGGGUCAUAAAUCCACUGAGGUUCGGUUCUUCGUCUGUAAUCAGGACUCUGGUUUAAACUCUGAUGAUCGCUGAGCAGCUGACAUGAUUAAUGCUUUAGGGGCCUCUGUAACACACACACACACACACACACACACACACUUUAUAACAGGAAGUCCUGUAUUACUGUUUGCUCAUAAAUUAGCACAGAUCGCUCGCCUUCCGUCGUCUUGGAGAGAUGAAACCUUCUUACCUGUCAGGUAAACCGGAGACCGAUAUGAGAGUUCAGUUAUGAGGCGGUGAGGUGUGUUUGUGUUACCUGAGCAGAGUAAUGAAAACACUCCUGAGAAGUCAUAGUUACAGAUCUGAUUAUCAGGAACUGGGUGAGUGGGUGGGAUGGGGGGCUGUAGUGAUAUACCUGUACCAACAAUAAACAUCAAUUACAGGACCAGGACGAUGGAGCUCAGAGACUCAUGUUGUUAGAGGAUGUUUAUACCUGUCUGUACAGGUAAACAAAGAUGGCUGCUGACUUUUCUUUCUUUCUCUUUUUCUGUCUUUAUUUUACCCUGAAGCUGUGGAGUCUGUGAGAAGGAGACGGUCAGUUCGUUUACAGUCUCAGUUUAAUCAGACUAAACUCAUAAUUCGUCUUCUUCUCUGAAUCAGACUUCUCUCCUCGUCCUCGUUUACAUGCAGCUGAGAAAAUCGAAUUAUUGACGUGAACGUGUCCUCCUCCCCAACACUAGGGGGCGAUAUGGGUCUUUUCAGACGUCAGAAGUGUCUACAACUGCUGCUGGGCAUUUUGGAGAAACAAGAAGAUGGAGCAUCGUACAGCGUUGUUUUUGUCCGACAUGAUGGACGCGCCACUUUUUCUAAAGAGGAGACCAACGCUACUCCUCUACUCUGGGGGUUUUGUUACGGGGUUACGGGGGCGUGGCUUCAUACUCCGACUACGCUGGUUACAUGGUAGAGAAAAUCAAAUUCCAAUCUCAUUAUCUGGGUGUCUUAAUCAGAGUUCUCAAACUCUGAUUAUAGUCGGACUAAAGUGUUUACAUGACCUUCAGUUGUCCGGUCUUAAUCGGAAAAAGGCGAUAAUUCAGUUUUCUCGUGUGUCAUGGAAACGGACUGAAUGAUUUCUAAUUCUACAUUGAAAGGACAACUGUUGUCCUUUCCAAGCGUAGAUUCCCGCUGCAGAGUCAUGUGACUAACCUGUUGGACAAAGUUGGUUUAAAAUCAUCUGAAAACCAUAAAAAUCUGUUUUAUUUCCGAUCAUUUUAACUCUUAAAUGUCUUUUAAACUUCGUCUAAGGUGUUUACAUGAACUUCAGCUGUCCGGUCUUAAUCGGAAUAAGGCGAUAAUUCGGUUUUCUCGAGUGUCAUGUUAAUGUACUGAGUGUGGCGUUGGACAGGUGACUCCAUCACUGCAGGUAAAAGUCAUGUGACCAGGCGUAGGUGUGUGACGCUCUGAUGUUUCUUCAGUUUCGAGGUUUAAUUGGUUUAUUUCCUGGAAACUGAAUCUUUAUGCAACAAGUUACACAACUGAGAGUGUAGGGAGGACAGGGUGAAUCAGAGAGGGGGGGGGGGGGGGGGUGAGGAGGGGUGAGGAGGGGGGGUGAGGGGGCCCUGCUUUCUUUGUGGCUCCCACAGAAACAUCUCCAAUUACAGGACAAAGGCGGCUCAUUCAGGCCCAAAGCUCCAACUCUGCAGCUUUGCAUGUCUAAUGAGCGCUCCGCUGAAUGCUAAGAGGACCGCGGGGUGCAGCAGAGGCCUCAGCACCCCCAACAUCCACCCACCAGAGUCCACCCACCUACACCCCUAUCCUCCCCCCCUGAACCCCUCUGUUCUCCUGCAGUCGUACAUCCAGGCCGGGCCUCCCCUCAGCACCAACAGGAAGUUCUCAGACCAACUCCUGAACACUGUAGGAAAUCUAAAUAUUCGACUUUUUACAGUGUUCUCCCUCCUGCAUUAAAGGCACAGUGGGUAACUUUCAGCCACUAGGGGUCUCACUCCCAAAACGACCACAGAUGUAGUUUCACAACGUAACCGGAUCAUGAGAGCUGAUGAUAAAUCAUGUUUUCAUCGUGUUUCAUUUUGCUGAGUCAUGUUAUAAAAUAGCAGCUAGUUAGCAUCAGUGCUAGCUAACAUAGACAGCCGUCAAACUAACCUGCUUCUCUGAGACGUGUUCAGAUGUUUCUCUGGAGGACGAGACCGAACAAACAUCAGCCUAACCCUGACCCCCGACCUCCACCUUCAUCCUGAUCGUCUCCUAAAAGGUCGUAUCCUCCGAUCGCAGCUGAUCGUAACCAUUCAAUUUAACGUGUCAAUUUACACCGACUUCUUUCCGUUCCUCUGCGGAUCGUAAGAGAUGGGUAGUUUUCCAUCGAAGGGGCCGAACUGAUCGACAUCUGGAGCCUCAAAAAGGUUCAUUUUGUGAACCAGAAGACCUGUGAAGUCCUGUGAAGAUCUGAUCCCAGAUCUGCAGGCUGGUUCUUCUGACUCUCUCCUUUCUGCUCUAAUAACGGGCUCCAUAAAUCAGCUCUCGUUAAUCCAGAUUCUGCUGACUCAGCAGAGCUCACACUAAACCAUUAAACUGGUUUCCUUUUAGUCGUCAUAUUGAUCUCUAAAUUCUUUGAUUGGUUUAUUAUCUUCUCUCCGCAUCGAUCCAGAGCUGCAGCACUCUGAGAGGAUCCUGGACCUGGACUAAGAGAGACUUCACCUUUAUUUUGGAGGAGAAAUAAAUAAAAAUAAUAAUUAUUCUAAAUUACGCUCCAGUUUUAUGACUUUACGUUUAAAAUCUGACAUUCAGAAUAAAUCUAAAAACCAAGAUCUUCUCUUGUGGACAUUUAUACGUUUAUCUAACAUGCGUAUGAAGCGAACUGAUCCCAGAUCUGAGAGUCUGACGCUGAGUCUUACACUAAUGACUGCUCUCAUCCAUGUUUUUAUUUUGGCGGGGGGUUGAUGUCUUCCUGUUCGGCUGGCGUCCUGCAGCAGACUCUCUCAGGAUCUCAUUAACUUUUAUUUUUUUAUUGAUUUCUGUCUGAGUUCACUUCCUGCUUUCAAGGUGAGAUAAGGAGAGGGCGCCCUCCCCGUCCAGAGAGAACACCCGCCAUCAUCAUCAUCAUCAUCAUCGUCGUCGUCGUGGUUACUGUCUUUAUCAGGACUGAAGGGUCUCCACUGUUUGUUUGUUUGUUUGUUUGUUGUGAGGGAGGAUCUGAUCUCGUCGUUCUCAUGAGAGUUUCUGUAACACACGCUGAGUUCACAUUUGUUUUAGUGGUGGGCAAAACCGGUCAUUUCAGUGAACCGGAUCAUUUCGGGUCGUUCAGUAAAAAGACCCGUUCAUUUCGUUCUUUUCGGUCAUUUCGGUCAUUAGUCAGUCGUCGUCGUCGUCCCCCCCCCCCCCGCGGUCCGACGCUGUGACCGCUGCACUCUCCACUUCCCACCCCGGUCCAACGCUGCGAUCUCACUGCACUACUUGUAAUAUAAAAUUAUAGUAGGAGUAACAAAAUAUAUAUAUAAACCUUAUAUAUAAGGUUUUUAAUGGUUUUUUUAUUAUUUUGAGGUGCAUUAAAAACAAUAAUAAAAAGUACAAAAUGUCAACAGACAG